UACGUAGGGUGCGAGCGUUGUCCGGAAUUAUUGGGCGUAAAGAGCUCGUAGGCGGCUUGUCGCGUCGGAUGUGAAAGCCCGGGGCUUAACUCCGGGUCUGCAUUCGAUACGGGCAGGCUAGAGUUCGGUAGGGGAGAUCGGAAUUCCUGGUGUAGCGGUGAAAUGCGCAGAUAUCAGGAAGAACACCCGUGGCGAAGGCGGCUCUCUGGUACGUGACUGACGCUGAGACGCGAAAGCGUGGGGAGCGAACAGG
Molecule: ribosomal RNA, 253 nt
Filed under: uncultured bacterium
Lineage: Bacteria
Description: partial 16S ribosomal RNA
Rfam family: Bacterial small subunit ribosomal RNA
Source: RNAcentral